This is a long non-coding RNA of Brienomyrus brachyistius, 1448 nucleotides long. RefSeq lists it as uncharacterized. NCBI's taxonomy places the organism in Eukaryota, Metazoa, Chordata, Actinopteri, Osteoglossiformes, Mormyridae. The transcript is spliced from 2 exons. The record is from RefSeq and is a predicted model, not a curated record.
UCUGUCUCAUUUGUACUCCGUGUCUAACAUGGACUACACGCGUUACGUGGGCCGCUGCCUGAUCUUCCUCAUCCUGGCGAUCGUAUUCGAUGUGGCCGGCCUCGUCAUCUUCCUCAUUGGCAUCUUUGCGCCACUCAGUUUCUGGGACUUCUUGGUAUUCACUGGACCCCUCAUCAUCUUCCUCAGCCUGGUCUUCUGGGCGUUUUGGUACCUGGGGAACAUCGACGUCACCGACGAAGAGUUGCUUCUGCCGCAGUAGGAACCGCAAUGUCGUUCGUUGGGGCCGGGAGUCAGCGGCUUGUGCGAGGAACUGCCGUCUGGAGAAGCUCGCUUCCGGAAUUCGAACGGGGGAUUUGAAAUUGCUCACCAAGAUUCAAGCAAAUCAGACGGAGCGAUGAUGGCGCCUGUCCAGCAAAGAGGGGGAUCAUUUGAAGAUGGUAUGGAGGACAGAGCAGGCAGUUUUGCUGCAGGGAUACUGGAGACGUCACAUCUUCAAGGUCCCAUCUGCGAUACCCUGCGACUGCAUUGCAGGACAUCCUGCACUUCAAGGGGGGUUUUUUGCCGUUAGGUGAUUUGUCUGUUGUGUAUAUGUAUCCAAUUGUAUUUGUCAGUAAAAGGUGAUAUAGUCAACUAUAUUUUCGUGCGUAGAAGGAAUAUCCUCGUUUGCUCUGAAUGUAAAACCAGCCUAACAGGCUGUGUCACUUCUACCGAAAGAAUGGUGGUCCAAAAAAGAAAGGAAACUGUUUACCCACAUCGGAAGGUCUGUCUUUCAUCUCUGCUGGAAGGAAUGGAGCAAUAUUUACCUCAAAAAUGAGAAGUGCUGCUUCUGGGUGACAUCUAGGACCGAUAACAUCUGUAGACCUUCAAUCUAUCACAUCACUUUAAGUCUUACAUAUUAGGGAUACACCAAAACUGGUCUUUAAAAUAUAUACAGAAUUAAUCACAAGUGUUUGUGCAAUCAUUAUCUAAUUUAUUCUGUUCUCGUCUUAAUAAGGUUUCUUUUUUGUUUAAUCACUGACCAUGUUAUUCACCUAUAUGAAUAAAAAUGAACUUGCCAAUAUUAGAACACGCGUGGUUUGGGGUUGAAUGUAGGACAACCAGGUUCUGUCAUGGCCACGUGUUACCCCUGCAUCCAAUGAGACAGCCAGAAAAACGCCACCAAGCCCCGCCCUCCUGUAUAUGCAGCCCUCCGCAAGAACAAUGUGGUCAGCAGCUGUAGAACUAGGUCCUAACCUAAAAAGGUGAUUCAGCCGUUCAUGACUUGCCCUCUUUAUCAUAGUCAAUAUCACUUGUAGGGAAGUUUUUAAAUAUCCCUUAUUCAGAAAUUUCUGAUAUUUUUAUUUCCUCUUAAAUUUUAUUUAAUCCCUCAUUUCCUUUAUUUCUUCCUGCUUGGAACUAUUAGAGUUAUUAUUGUUUUUUUAAUAGCAUUAAAGUCUUGCUUAAUGUAA